GGGCGGUUAGCUCAGUUGGUAGAGCGUUCGCUUGACGUGCGAAAGGCCACAGGUUCGAAUCCUGUAUCGCCCA
RNAcentral lists this transfer RNA (73 nucleotides) under Candidatus Lloydbacteria bacterium. RNAcentral's name for it is "tRNA-Val". It matches the Rfam family "tRNA". From Rfam's summary of the family: Transfer RNA (tRNA) molecules are approximately 80 nucleotides in length. Their secondary structure includes four short double-helical elements and three loops (D, anti-codon, and T loops). The record is from RNAcentral. Lineage: Bacteria; Candidatus Lloydiibacteriota.